Molecule: small nuclear RNA, 118 nt
Filed under: Nannospalax galili (Upper Galilee mountains blind mole rat)
Lineage: Eukaryota; Metazoa; Chordata; Mammalia; Rodentia; Spalacidae
Description: U4atac minor spliceosomal RNA (ENSNGAG00000005478.1)
Source: RNAcentral
ACCAUCCUUUUUUGGUGUUGCCUUACUGAGCGUUUAGUGAAGUAAGUGCUGCUGAGAUCUACAUUAUACACCCUCAUCGGGUAGAGCUUUGCCUUACCUUGGCUCAAGUUUUAGAAAA